This 450-nucleotide ribosomal RNA is filed under the name uncultured Pelotomaculum sp. RNAcentral's name for it is "bacterial SSU rRNA". It matches the Rfam family "Bacterial small subunit ribosomal RNA", at positions 929 to 1382 of the family's 1533-position model. The record is from RNAcentral. Lineage: Bacteria; Bacillati; Bacillota; Clostridia; Eubacteriales; Desulfotomaculaceae.
GCGUGGAGCAUGUGGUUAAUUCGACGCAACGCGAAGACUUACCAGGGCUUGACAUCCCCUGACCGCGUAUGAAAGUACGUUUUCACCCUCGGGUGACAGGGAGACAGGUGGUGCAUGGUUGUCGUCAGCUCGUGUCGUGAGAUGUUGGGUUAAGUCCCGCAACGAGCGCAACCCCUACGUUUAGUUGCUAACAGGUGAAGCUGAGCACUCUAGACGAACUGCCGUUGACAAACGGAGGAAGUGGGGAUGACGUCAAAUCAUCAUGCCCCUUAUGUUCUGGGCUACACACGUGCUACAAUGGCCGGUACAGACGGAGGCGAAGCCGCGAGGCGGAGCAAAACCGAAAAAGCCGGUCUCAGUUCGGAUUGCAGGCUGCAAUUCGCCUGCAUGAAGUCGGAAUCGCUAGUAAUCGUAGAUCAGCAUGCUACGGUGAAUACGUUCCCGGGCCUU